RNAcentral lists this ribosomal RNA (426 nucleotides) under uncultured bacterium. Its description in RNAcentral is "bacterial SSU rRNA". It matches the Rfam family "Bacterial small subunit ribosomal RNA", at positions 918 to 1350 of the family's 1533-position model. The record is from RNAcentral.
GGCCCGCACAAGCGGUGGAGUAUGUGGUUUAAUUCGACGCAACGCGCAGAACCUUACCCAAUCUUAACAUCCCGUGAACGAAACAGAAAUGUAUCGGUGCCCUUUUGGGAACACGGUGAUAGGUGCUGCAUGGCUGUCGUCAGCUCGUGUCGUGAGAUGUUCGGUUAAGUCCGGUAACGAGCGCAACCCCUAUCCUUAGUUGCCAAUGAUGGAACUCUAAGGAGACUGCCGGUGUCAAACCGGAGGAAGGUGGGGACGACGUCAAGUCCUCAUGGCCCUUACGAUUGGGGCUACACACGUACUACAAUGGCAACUACAGUGGGAAGCAAGACCGCGAGGUGGAGCAAAUCCCCAAAAGUUGCCUCAGUUCGGAUUGUACUCUGCAACUCGAGUACAUGAAGGCGGAAUCGCUAGUAAUCGCAGGUC